UAAACGGCCUUUUUUAAGGCCACUUCAUCGUUAAAACUGGGGAGAAU
Larimichthys crocea (large yellow croaker) is the source of this 47-nucleotide non-coding RNA. Lineage: Eukaryota; Metazoa; Chordata; Actinopteri; Sciaenidae. The record is from Rfam.